This 254-nucleotide ribosomal RNA is filed under the name uncultured bacterium. RNAcentral describes it as "partial 16S ribosomal RNA". It matches the Rfam family "Bacterial small subunit ribosomal RNA", at positions 524 to 777 of the family's 1533-position model. The record is from RNAcentral.
UACAGAGGGUGCGAGCGUUAAUCGGAGUUACUGGGCGUAAAGGGCGCGUAGGCGGACAGUUAAGUUGGGGGUGAAAGCCCGGGGCUCAACCUCGGAAUUGCCUUCAAUACUGGCUGUCUUGAGUUCGGGAGAGGUGAGUGGAAUGCCGAGUGUAGAGGUGAAAUUCGUAGAUAUUCGGCGGAACACCAGUGGCGAAGGCGACUCACUGGCCCGAUACUGACGCUGAGGCGCGAAAGCGUGGGGAGCAAACAGGG